RNAcentral lists this long non-coding RNA (1569 nucleotides) under Gossypium barbadense (sea-island cotton). RNAcentral's name for it is "long non-coding RNA (GBAR_LNC007814)". Lineage: Eukaryota; Viridiplantae; Streptophyta; Magnoliopsida; Malvales; Malvaceae. The record is from RNAcentral.
GAAACUGAAUCAACUAGAAAACUAAAAGAAACUCAGGCCUGGAAACCCUUCUUCUCUGUCCUUUGAAAAUAAAGCCUAUCAUGUAUCAGUCAUUUAAAAGACUGAUGCUGCUCUAAAAUCAUGCAUUUCAAUCCUCAUUCUCUGUCAAAAUCACGAGUUCUUCUGACAGACCCAAUGUCACAUAAUCUGGACUCUAUUUUGCCAUUUAACCAUCGUCAUCACCGCUUCCUUUAUCGCGAUUCACCAGUCUUUCCACCGCAUGUGGAACCUUCUCCAUCCAGUAUUGGGAAUUUUCAUAUCGUCGUCCUUCUAUCACCAUCCCGUGAGCCGUUUUGUUGGCUUCCCUUGGUACGUACUUAAAGCUUAGUCUUCUAAAUUUAGGGGUUCUCCCCUUUAUUUCUUUAAUCAUAUUGCUAAUGUUCGAUUUAUUUUCUUCUAAGGAGUUUACUUUACAUAUUAUGGUCAACGCAUCUCCUUCAACACAAAUGUCUUGGAAACCCAUUUCCUCCGCCAUAGUGAUUGCUUGCAAACACGCCCUUGCCUCUGCCAUAACUAGAUCUGGAAUAUUCUCCCAUUGAAAGGUACAAGCAGCCAUUACUAACCCUUCUUUAUUUCGAGCUAAAAUUCCUUAUACUGAUCUUCUCGAGUGUUGGUUUAAUGAGGCGUCAAAGUUGAUUUUUAUAAUGUUAUCAUCCGGUGGUUUCCAAACAGAAUCAUUGACUCCAUUCGCAUUUUUUAAAAACUCCCUCAUAAAUGCUAUUUCUGCAUAAUAAGCAUUGAUAAACGCCACUAUUUCAUUUACUUGUUCUCUUGUUCCUUCAUGAUAAAUCUUAUUGCGAUUGUACCAAAUAGCCCAGUAUACGAUAGAUCUUAUUUUACAUGCUUCUGUAUUCUGACUGUCGAACUCUGUUUCUAACCAUUUUUUCCAAUUGGGUUCUCUAUUGCAUGUUGUAUUUGUCGCUCCCAUCCCUCGCAAUACUUGCUGCAUGAAAGUGCAAUCCCUAAAUAGGUGGCUCACUGUUUCCUCAUUUGCUUGACACAAAGGGCAAAGUGUAUUUACAACCAGUUUACGGAUUCUUAGGUUGUGUAAAGUGGGUAUGAACUCAUUUGCUAUUCUCCACAUAAGUAUACAGAUUACUUGGUACCAUAAGACCCCAUAACUUUGUAAAGAAAGUAGAUGAAAUUUCAUUAUGUAAUAUAGGAUCCCCAUUAUAAUAACCCAUUUGUAGCCACUUUUAACUAUGUAUACCCCUGUAUUGUCACCUCUCCAUAUUAACUCAUCCUGCGGUCUGCUACACACCAAUGGAAUUGAAAGAAUAUUUUUCAGUUGCUCCUCUCCGAAUAGUGAUCGGAUAGUGUCUUGCUUCCAGGUAGUAGUAUCCCUAUUGAUUAAAUCAGAAACAACAGUAUAUCUGAUAUCUAUGUUCUGACAUUGUAUUCUUCCAUUCCAGGCCCCGGUAACCAAAUAUCAUUCCAUAUGUUAAUUGCAUCAACGUUCCCAACUCGCCAACCAAUUCCCUAUUCGAGAAGUUGUCUAGCACCCCAAAUACUACACCAGGUAUACGAAGG